This is an RNA transcript of Nymphaea colorata (pocket water lily), 537 nucleotides long. RefSeq lists it as uncharacterized. The record is from RefSeq and is a predicted model, not a curated record. The transcript is spliced from 2 exons. Lineage: Eukaryota; Viridiplantae; Streptophyta; Magnoliopsida; Nymphaeales; Nymphaeaceae.
UGCCAUUCUGCACCCAUCCACUCUUCCUCCAGCAAUUGUGAAGCAAUUUGUAUUCACAAUGAAGCAAGCUUCCUUCUCCGUCCUCUUUCUUGCCGCUCUCUUGCUGCUCUCUGUGGCUUCGGCAAACGAAAAGCAGGCGACAGGCGAUCUUCUUUGUGGAGUCAGUUGCCACAAUGGCCGAUGCUGCGGAUAUGGUGAGAGCUGCUGCUCCGGCACUGGAUGCUGCCGAUCAGGUCAGAGAUGCUGCGGCCAUCUUCUUUGCUGCAAUGUUGAGGAGUAUACUGCGUUCGUGAAUGCUCACGCUGUCCCUAGCAGGAUAGCAUCCAUUGCAAACUGAAAGCUUCUCAUUUCUGAUCUGUUAUCGUCUUCAUCAGGAUGAUAGCAGUAACUUAUGGUGCAUCUAAAUAAUAAAGCCAGCGCAUGCUUAUUGUCUGCUGGGACAGCUUGCAUGCAGGGUGCGCCCCUUCCUAGUUCUUCUUCCUGUUAGCAACAAGCAGUGUUUGCUUCUAUCGUGUUUCCUUGUGCUAUGAAAUAAAA